This 957-nucleotide ribosomal RNA is filed under the name uncultured organism. RNAcentral's name for it is "bacterial SSU rRNA". It matches the Rfam family "Bacterial small subunit ribosomal RNA", at positions 514 to 1470 of the family's 1533-position model. The record is from RNAcentral.
GCCGCGGUAAUACGGAGGAGGCAAGCGUUAUCCGGAAUUAUUGGGCGUAAAGCGUCCGCAGGGGGCACAUCAAGUCUGCUGUUAAAGGCUGGAGCUUAACUCCGGUAGAGCAGUGGAAACUGGUGUGCUAGAGGGCGACAGGGGUAGAGGGAAUUCCCAGUGUAGCGGUGAAAUGCGUAGAGAUUGGGAAGAACACCGGUGGCGAAAGCGCUCUACUGGGUCGCACCUGACCCUCAGGGACGAAAGCUAAGGUAGCGAAAGGGAUUAGAUACCCCUGUAGUCUUAGCCGUAAACGAUGGAUACUAGGCGUGGUUUGUAUCGACCCAAGCCGUGCCGAAGCUAACGCGUUAAGUAUCCCGCCUGGGGAGUACGCACGCAAGUGUGAAACUCAAAGGAAUUGACGGGGGCCCGCACAAGCGGUGGAGGAUGUGGUUUAAUUCGAUGCAACGCGAAGAACCUUACCAGGGCUUGACAUCCCGCGAAUCCCCAGGAAAGUGGGGAGUGCCUUCGGGAGCGCGGAGACAGGUGGUGCAUGGCUGUCGUCAGCUCGUGUCGUGAGAUGUUGGGUUAAGUCCCGCAACGAGCGCAACCCUCGUCCUUAGUUGCCAGCAUUAAGUUGGGCACUCUAGGGAGACUGCCGGUGACAAACCGGAGGAAGGUGAGGAUGACGUCAAGUCAGCAUGCCCCUUAUGCUCUGGGCAACACACGUCCUACAAUGGUCGGGACAAAGGGGAGCGAGCUCGCGAGAGUCAGCGAAUCCCAGCAAACUCGGCCUCAGUUCAGAUGGCAGGCUGCAACUCGCCUGCCUGAAGGAGGAAUCGCUAGUAAUCGCUGGUCAGCAUACAGCGGUGAUUCGUUCCCGGGCCUUGUACACACCGCCCGUCACACCAUGGAAGCUGGCCAAGCCCGAAGUCGUUACCCUAACCGUUCGCGGAGGGGGCGCCGAAGGCUGGGCUG